AACGCACAUUGCGCCCGCCAGUAUUCUGGCGGGCAUGCCUGUUCGAGCGUCAUUGCAACCCUCAGGCCCUGCCUGGCGUUGGAGGACUGCGCUGCAGCCUCCCAAAGCAAGCGGCGGCGGCGCCCCAAAACCGAACGCAGUAGUUACUUCUCGUUCUGGGUGUGGGACGUUGACCUGCCGGAAAACCCCUUCUUUUUAGUGGUUGACCUCGAAUCAGGUAGGAAUACCCGCUGAACUUAA
RNAcentral lists this unclassified non-coding RNA (240 nucleotides) under uncultured fungus. RNAcentral's name for it is "partial contains 5.8S ribosomal RNA, internal transcribed spacer 2, and large subunit ribosomal RNA". The stretch from base 1 to 52 matches the Rfam family "5.8S ribosomal RNA", at positions 103 to 154 of the family's 154-position model. Lineage: Eukaryota; Fungi. The record is from RNAcentral.